This 1424-nucleotide ribosomal RNA is filed under the name Dendropsophus cruzi. Its description in RNAcentral is "partial 16S ribosomal RNA". It matches the Rfam family "Bacterial large subunit ribosomal RNA", at positions 379 to 2597 of the family's 2925-position model. Lineage: Eukaryota; Metazoa; Chordata; Amphibia; Anura; Hylidae. The record is from RNAcentral.
GCUAAAAAUCUAGCCCUAUCCUCACAAAUGCCCCCAAAACUAAUAUUACAAACAAAACCAUUUUCUUCAUUUAGUAAAGGCGAUUAAAAAAUUAAUUAGAGCUACAAUAAUAGUACCGCAAGGAAAAGAUGAAAUAAACAUGAAAUAGCCCUUAAGCAUUAUGAAGCAGAGACAUAUCCUCGUACCUUUUGCAUCAUGAUCUAACUAGUUUGAUCAAGCACAAAGAACUUUAGUUUGACCCCCCGAAACUAGGCGAGCUACUUCGAGGCAGCUUAAUGAGCCCACCCAUCUCUGUUGCAAAAGAGUGGGAAGACCCCUAAGUAGCGGUGACAGACCUAACGAGCCUAGUGAUAGCUGGUUACUUAAGAAAAGGAUUUAAGUCCCGCCUAAAGCAUCUUAAAUAUCACUAAACACCUUCCAUGCUUUAGAGCCACUCAAAUGAGGUACAGCCCGUUUGAAACAAGGAUACAACCUACACCAAUGGGUAAUUCUUAUGUACUAAUCUAAAUAAGUGGGCCUAAAAGCAGCCACCUUUAAAAUAGCGUCAAAGCUUCCCUACCCUAUACAUUAAUACCACUAUCCACCAAAAACCCUUCAUUCGUAUUAAGUUAUUCUAUAACCCUAUAGAAGUAUUUAUGUUAGAACUAGUAAUAAGAAGACAGCUCUUCUCUUAGAUGUAAGUGUAAACCAGAAAGGACUAACCGCUGCUAAUUACCCAUCAAUGAACGCAAAACAGCAACCUUACCAGAAAACCCUGUUUUUACUAAUGUUAACCUAACACUAGCACAUCACAAGAAAGAUUUAAAGAAAAAGAAGGAACUCGGCAAAUAUCAACCUCGCCUGUUUACCAAAAACAUCGCCUCUUGACAUAUAUGAGAGGUCCAGCCUGCCCAGUGACUAAGUUCAACGGCCGCGGUAUCCUAACCGUGCGAAGGUAGCGUAAUCACUUGUUCUUUAAAUGAGGACUAGUAUGAAUGGCACCACGAGGGUUGUACUGUCUCCUUUUUUUAAUCAAUGAAACUGAUCCCCCCGUGAAGAAGCGGGGAUAAACAUAUAAGACGAGAAGACCCUAUGGAGCUUUAAACAACUAUAGCACUGGCCCACACUUCUUAUUCUUCUGAGACAUAAUCAUUAUACAGGCCAACAUGACUAUUAGUUUUAGGUUGGGGUGACCGCGGAGCAUAAACUAACCUCCACGUUGAACGGAACUACUCCUGAGCUCAAAGCUACAACUUUAAGCACCAAUAAACUGACAUCAAUUGACCCAACAUGUUGAGCAACGAACCAAGUUACCCUAGGGAUAACAGCGCAAUCCAUUUCAAGAGCCCCUAUCGACAAAUGGGUUUACGACCUCGAUGUUGGAUCAGGGUAUCCCAGUGGUGCAGCCGCUACUAAAGGUUCGUUUGUUCAACGAUUAAAACCCU